This 539-nucleotide long non-coding RNA is filed under the name Mus musculus (house mouse). RNAcentral describes it as "long non-coding RNA chr13:81065927-81066466". The record is from RNAcentral. Lineage: Eukaryota; Metazoa; Chordata; Mammalia; Rodentia; Muridae.
GUCCUUGAAGCUUGUAUCUGAUAUCAGCACUGGAUCGUAGAACUUGUUGCUGAUUUUUGACCUUGUAUUCAAGUUAACUGCUCCCUUGGUAUAUGUUUAAUACCCUGUGCAUAUCUUGAUUUAGUCCUUAGUUCAUGUGGCUCGGUCACUUGGGGGCUGGGGAGAGCACGCUGCAGAUGAGAAAGCCCCAGCCUGGUGGAUCUCUGUGAGCACCACUGAGUGAUCUGUGCAGGGUAUUAACCAACAGCAGACUUCCAGGAUUUCCUGAGGCUGGCAAGGGUUCCUGAACCAGUUACCACUCCUUCUUGCCAGUCUAACAGGGUGGGAAAGUCCGAGCCUUAGGACCCAGUUUCAGUUCUGGUUUCUUCCCUCCUGACCACCAUCGGUUGUUAGUUGCCUUGAGUUGGGAACAUUUGCAUCGACACCUGUAAAUGUAUUCAUUCUUUAAUUUAUGUAAGGUUUUUUGUACUCAAUUCUUUAAGAAAUGACAAAUUUUGGUUUUCUACUGUUCAAUGAGAACAUUAGGCCCCAGCAACACG